This 797-nucleotide long non-coding RNA is filed under the name Ananas comosus (pineapple). Its description in RNAcentral is "long non-coding RNA (ACOM_LNC021987)". The record is from RNAcentral. Lineage: Eukaryota; Viridiplantae; Streptophyta; Magnoliopsida; Poales; Bromeliaceae.
AAUGGAAGCACUUUUAGUGAGAGCAUUUUCUUUUAAGGCUUAGUUUGGUAUUAAGACCUAUCUAACGUUAUUAGAUAAAAUGGAGUUGAGAAAAAAGCAUAUAGGGAUAUGCUUCUGCGUUCUUCAGUGGGACCGCAGAAAAUAUAUCGUAACCGACUCAUCGCGAUACGCGGAACGCAAUAUUAUGUACGAAAACAAACAAUAUAUUUUUCUAACGUAUAACGCAAUCUCCCCGCAAUCUCAAACGAAACCUAAAUUAAGUCCUACAUAGAUGUGAGAACAAGCUAUCCACAGCAACAUGAAAGAAUAUAUCAUGAUGGUCUAAAUUUGCUGGUAUAUAAUGAAUUCUAAUGAACUACGAGACGAACAAUUAUUUUAUUUCAAGAAAAUAAUGUAUAGCUUGCAAUGAUAAGCUAUCGUAAACUUCUAAGUGGGGGCGGCAAUAUGUUCCGCUCGAAAUGAGGUCGAAAUCGAAUCGCUCGUUUAGUAAACGAGCCAAACACUAGCUGAUUUUUCAGCUCAUUUAAUAAACGAGCCGAACAAGAGUUGGGGUCAGCUCGUUCGUAUUUGGCUCGAUAACAGCUCGAAUACAUAUAUUUUAUAUUUAUAUAAUUUAUUUAAUUUAUAUUUAUAUAUAUUUAUAUAUAAAUAAAUAAUUAUAUAUAUAAUAUAUAUUUUUAUUAUUUGAUUUUUAGCCAAAAAAAAAGACGAGCUUAAUUAUAAAAAGACUCAUUUAUAUGUAAAAUUUCAACCAUUAGAUCAAAGUAUUUUAAUAUUGGAGGUUUUUCCAAAUUCAU